CGGCCGUCAGAGCAGAGUGCCGGGGGAAGGAAAGGAAGAAGGGGGUUGGUCUGUGCUACCGAGAGGUGAAGAUUGCGACUUGACGAAACCAACUAAACCGCAGAGCAGAGAAACAAUACAGAGGCCACCAACCCUGAUCCCCUCAAGGCCUCAACACCACAAAAUCCGUGAUAAAGGGAAGCUUUUCUGGAUUUCAGCCCACGGACACUGGAAGUCCUUCUCCAAAUCUACAAAGCGUCUAGACUGGUUGGGCAAACACGUGCACCUUCUAGAACCCUGCUGCAAGUGGUGUACAGCUAGUCCAUUGCAUCGGAGGUACAACUUGGCGACAGACCUUCCUCUCCAGAACACUUUAAAGACCUCACCAGAGAGACUGCAGAAUGGGAUCCCCCCCUCUAGCUGAAACAUAUCCUCAGUAACAUCAUCCCAAAUACAUUGCACGUGUGAAAACACGGCGACGUAUAUGCAAAUAAAAGUUGCUAUAUAUGGAUUCAACUGGAAAUUAUUUUUGAAAAAUAUAUCUCAGUUAUGUUACAAAUCAAAUCACAGUCAUUACAGUCCGAGUUCCUUUUAUAAGGAGUCAAGGAUCUGUUCCGCAGCAAAAAUGAGUUUGAGGCCCCUGCAAUGGAGGCACAGAGUAAAGGGGGGGGGGGCAGAGACAAUAUUUAUUCAUCCAAAUAUACCUCUCAACAUUUGUAAUUAUUAUUUUAAAUGUAUUUUAAACCCACUGAAAACAGCCACCCAGUUCGGGGCGUACCCCGCCAGCUGCCCGAAGACAGCUGGGAUAGACUCUGGCAUGCCCACGACCCUCGUGAGGAUAAGCGGUCCAGAUAAUGGAUGGAUGGAUAAAAACAGAGCCUCACACACUUGUGGCCUGCCCCACAAACUCCCAUUUAUUCUCAUCCCCAUCUCCUCUCCUUCCAACCGUAUAUGUAGUCUGUCAAAAUAAUGGGGACGCACAACCCAAUGGCGACGGCCACGCAGGAGUUUAUUUUCUUCUGGCUUGACUCAACAUGAGCCCUUAGCUCAGAGAGCAGAUGCCGACGAAAGCAGAUUCCAACAAGUACGAACCGUCUCGAAUCACCCAGGGCAAAUUCUGUGACCGCGUGACACACAUGUCCCUCUUUUGCAGCCAAUGAAUCACUCGAAGCAGACUCAUUUUCUGCGCGACAUGUCAUUCUUUGCAGCGUGCUAAUCACUCAGCACGGAGGGAGUGGGUGUGGUUAUUCACUGAGUAAUACAGUGCACGUCAUCGUUUCGCAGUAAACAAAUCGAGAGUGACAUUUAGUCAAGUCUCUUCUUCACCGCACACUGGCUACGUCGCCAAAGAUUAAAGAGUCAGCGGCCCCCAUGAGGAGCACCUUUCAGCAUUCCCUCUAAGGACUCUACAACCGGUGGAUAGUCUGAGCUGCUGUUUGGUACAUAAGCAGAAAAAAAAAAACAAUCAGGUCCGGUCUUCUCACCUGAAGAUACAGCAGGCUACACUCUUGUUUUCCAGGGUGAACACACAUGUACGGGCAAUAAGUAUGCACACACCUGCGCUGCACCUCUUACCUCGGGUAAUUCAAUGAUACAAUCGAGUCCAACGCCUCUCAACAGAAUGGGAACCAGCAUGCACGCCGCAUGGCAAGGCGAGCUCGACGACAUCGUGUCGUAACCUCUCAACUUGCCACAGAUGUGACUUUUCACGUACCGAGAGCCGGCUUCUGUAGCCGGGAUUGACCUUCGAGGUCAUCAUCAUGCAUUCCACCUUCUUGGCCCUCGCUACAGGCGGUGGGUUUAUGCAAAGCGGGGACCCAAGUUGUCUCUUUGGGCUGUGCAUGUGAUGGAGCCCGAACUCAAGGCUCGGGCUCGAGAGGUGCGCCCGGCUGGCCCAAAGUCUGGGCGGGCUCAACUACAUCGAGUUGAUCCUCUGUGCACUUGCAUAUUUGUGGGCCCAGACUUGUCUGGUUUAGGGGUUGCAGAAAUCAGGAUUGGAAGGGCCUAUAGCUAAUGCUAAUCUGCUCUCCUGUUGGCGUUCACAUGAUGACCUUCCCUCAGCCUUGCUGUGGAUUUCAAGGGAGGAAAAACUCAGUUUGGGGGCCGUCUUACAGUAUGUGGGACUACAUUAGUUCAAAAUUACACUUGAUUGGUGGUCAGGCACUCCAGAAACCUUACUAAUUGAAUACAAGUAAUUAAAAAUGUGUGAGGUGAGUGGUGCAAUGGAUAACACCCAACUACGGAUCAGAAGAUUCUAGUAGGAUCAACUUAUCGCUAGCUCCAGAAGAUUUACAAAGUUUUGCUUUGCUGAGCAGCUCGUAGGUCUUCAAACCCAGAGGCAACUUUUUUUUUUUUUGGGGGGGGGUGUGCAGUUGUUCGGACUGAUACACUGAUAACUUAAACCCAGGCGCCAAGACUGCCCCGGAUUGUGCCACUGACUGUAUGUUUACUGACCAGAAAGAGCAGAACACGGUACUGUUUUUGGUCUCGCAAUGAGAUCAUUGGAUACGGGCGUACGUCAGUGUCAGAGUAAUGUCGAGAAGAUUUGUUGGACCUUGACAAUUGCUAUAAACACACCGUCUCAAGUGCCAAAAAUCACACCCAAGUUCCGCCUUUCCGUCAUUCCCUUUUACGCAUGGCAGACGGCGCUCCGCCUCUGUUACGGCUCAGAUACAACCCAACCCAUUCAGCACUUCAUACCGACCGGCAACAGGAAAAAAAA
Hippocampus comes (tiger tail seahorse) is the source of this 2701-nucleotide long non-coding RNA. RefSeq lists it as uncharacterized. The transcript has 2 exons. The record is from RefSeq and is a predicted model, not a curated record. Lineage: Eukaryota; Metazoa; Chordata; Actinopteri; Syngnathiformes; Syngnathidae.